GACGAACGCUGGCGGCGUGCUUAACACAUGCAAGUCGAACGGAAAGGCCCUGCUUUUGUGGGGUGCUCGAGUGGCGAACGGGUGAGUAACACGUGAGUAACCUGCCCUUGACUUUGGGAUAACUUCAGGAAACUGGGGCUAAUACCGGAUAGGAGCUCCUGCUGCAUGGUGGGGGUUGGAAAGUUUCGGCGGUUGGGGAUGGACUCGCGGCUUAUCAGCUUGUUGGUGGGGUAGUGGCUUACCAAGGCUUUGACGGGUAGCCGGCCUGAGAGGGUGACCGGCCACAUUGGGACUGAGAGACGGCCCAGACUCCUACGGGAGGCAGCAGUGGGGAAUAUUGCACAAUGGGCGGAAGCCUGAUGCAGCAACGCCGCGUGCGGGACGACGGCCUUCGGGUUGUAAACCGCUUUCGCCUGUGACGAAGCGUGAGUGACGGUAAUGGGUAAAGAAGCACCGGCUAACUACGUG
RNAcentral lists this ribosomal RNA (468 nucleotides) under uncultured bacterium. RNAcentral's name for it is "partial 16S ribosomal RNA". It matches the Rfam family "Bacterial small subunit ribosomal RNA", at positions 28 to 507 of the family's 1533-position model. The record is from RNAcentral.